CGAACGGGCGUAGCAAUACGUCAGUGGCAGACGGGUGAGUAACAACGUGGGAACGUACCUUUUGGUUCGGAACAACUGAGGGAAACUUCAGCUAAUACCGGAUAAGCCUAACGGGAAAGAUUAUCGCCGAAAGAUCGGCCCGCGUCUGAUUAGCUAGUUGGUGGGGUAAUGGCCCACCAAGGCGACGAUCAGUAGCUGGUCUGAGAGGAUGAUCAGCCACAUUGGGACUGAGACACGGCCCAAACUCCUACGGGAGGCAGCAGCG
Molecule: ribosomal RNA, 265 nt
Filed under: uncultured Rhodopseudomonas sp.
Lineage: Bacteria; Pseudomonadati; Pseudomonadota; Alphaproteobacteria; Hyphomicrobiales; Nitrobacteraceae
Description: partial 16S ribosomal RNA
Rfam family: Bacterial small subunit ribosomal RNA
Source: RNAcentral